This 490-nucleotide ribosomal RNA is filed under the name uncultured bacterium. Its description in RNAcentral is "partial 16S ribosomal RNA". It matches the Rfam family "Bacterial small subunit ribosomal RNA", at positions 30 to 507 of the family's 1533-position model. The record is from RNAcentral.
AUUGAACGCUGGCGGCAGGCCUAACACAUGCAAGUCGAACGGUAACAGGAAGCAGCUUGCUGCUUUGCUGACGAGUGGCGGACGGGUGAGUAAUGUCUGGGAAACUGCCCUAUGGAGGGGGAUAACUACUGGAAACGGUAGCUAAUACCGCAUAACGUCGCAAGACCAAAGAGGGGGACCUUAGGGCCUCUUGCCAUCGGAUGUGCCCAGAUGGGAUUAGCUAGUAGGGGGGGUAACGGCUCACCUAGGCGACGAUCCCUAGCUGGUCUGAGAGGAUGACCAGCCACCUUGGAACUGAGACACCGACCAGACUCCUACGGGAGGCAGCAGUGUGGAAUAUUGGACAAUGGGCGCAAGCCUGAUGCAGCCAUGCCGCGUGUAUGAAGAAGGCCUUCGGGUUGUAAAGUACUUUCAGCGGGGAGGAAGGGAGUAAAGUUAAUACCUUUGCUCAUUGACGUUACCCGCAGAAGAAGCACCGGCUAACUCCGUG